Molecule: long non-coding RNA, 834 nt
Filed under: Homo sapiens (human)
Lineage: Eukaryota; Metazoa; Chordata; Mammalia; Primates; Hominidae
Description: HSALNT0251462
Source: RNAcentral
AAAUAAUUUUUACCUUCUCGAAAAAGAAAUGAGAGAGCAAAGCCCUAUUCCACUCAGAGGAAAGAGCAUGUGCAAAGGCUUUAAAAGCAGCAAGUUCGUGGAAUAACAUGGAACAAUGAGAAACAGAAAGAAAGCUCUGAAAGUUUUUAGGAUGGUAGUAGGGAGGAGGAGUUCGGCGUGUGAACACCUCUGAAAUACUAAUGCCAAUGCUAUCAUAGACAUUAUCUUCUCACCUUGUUAGGAAGAUGGUCCUUGUAAACUUGAUCUUGGGCCGGGUUUGGUGGCUUACGCCUGUAAUCCCAGCACUUUGGGAGGCUGAGGCAGGCAGAAGACAAGUUCAAGAGUUCGAGACCAGCCUGGCCAACAUGGUGAAACCCCAUCUCUACUAAGAACACAAAAAUUAGCCGGGCGUGGUGGUGUGUGCCUGUAAUCCCAGCUACUCAGGAGGCUGAGGCAGGAGAAUCGCUUGAACCCGGUAGGCAGAGUUUGCAGUGAGCCGAGAUCGUGCCACUGCACUCCAGCCUGGGUGACAGAGCAAGACUUCAUCUAGAGAAAAACAACAACAACAACAAGAAAAAACUUGAUCUUGAUAAUUAGCAAGUGUUGAUUAGCCUUGCCAAGACUGCAAAUUCCCCAACAGACAGAGCUCAUGGAGAAGGCUUUAAAGUUAUGCACCAUUAAUUCAGAAUUCAUGUAUCAAUGGAAUUUUCCAACGAUGAAGACCUGCUGGGUUUUCAGUUUGGAACCAUCAUUUAAGGAAACAGACUGUCUCUGUCAUUUAGAAGACUAAAAUCUAAAUGCAAAAAUAAGAUUUAAAGAAAUUACAUAAAACUG